This 211-nucleotide long non-coding RNA is filed under the name Musa acuminata (dwarf banana). RNAcentral describes it as "long non-coding RNA (MACU_LNC006353)". Lineage: Eukaryota; Viridiplantae; Streptophyta; Magnoliopsida; Zingiberales; Musaceae. The record is from RNAcentral.
UGAUUACUUCAAGAUUCAAUAGCCUUAUUCCAAUCUCUAACAUAAAUUUAUUAUGAUAAUUCUAGUGUCAUUCAAAUCGCUCACAAUGAUAUCAAAUCAUAUUAAGAUUGAUUAUCAUUUUACACAUAAUCUUCAACUUGGUAAUCUACAACUUUGCUCAAUCAAUACUGAAGAUCAAAUGAUAGAUAUAUUUGCCAAACCAUUAUUACCG